ACAGUUGUGAGCCCAGCCUAAAAAAACUUCUCUUAUGAUCAUAGGACAGUCAUCCAAUGAAUGGAGUCCCUGGAGAAACUAUCACCUGCACCCCGAGGAGUUCACCUGACUGCCCAAGUUCACCCGUUGGCAGCCUAGCAUGUCACCUUGUGAGUUAAAAUGCAUUUGAAUGUAUUUGUUUGUUGGUACAUGUUUGGUAAUGUUUUAAAUUGCCAAAAAUACCUGUUAAAGGAGAUUUUACAUUUUCAUACCUCUACAGGAAAUUCAGUUCCAAAAGAUGGGCCGACUUCUCAUUUUAGAGAUGACGACAAAAGGCCCAGAGAGGGACAGUGAUUCAUCCAAGGCGGCAGAGCCAGUCAGGAAGAGCACCCGGGAGGGAGCCCCGGUCUGCUGACCCCACCGUAUUCAUUCUCACACCUGAUCAUAUGAGUGUAAAGUUCUAGUUGAUGGAAGGACAUGACAUAUAUUGUCCUUUGUUCUUCCCAGGUGCCAUGAUUACUCUCUUUAAUGGAUGAGGAAAUUGAGGCACGAAUGGGCUUGGAAACUUGCCGAAGUUCCCACCGGCAGUAAAUGACAACGCUGGGGUGGGGAUGAUCCUAAGAUGCUGCUCCCACCGACAGCUGUGAACCAAUGCGAGGGCCCAUCUUCCACCCAGGGCCCGUGCUAGCCUGGAGCUGCAGACUCUCCCCAGCCACCCCUGCCCAGGAGAGAUAGGCCUGGCCGACCACGCCAGCUCGGGAAACAUAACAAAAGCCACGCAGAGGACAGAGCAGCCCGGCAGUGCCUCUGUGGAUGUGCGACGUAGACAUCACAAGAUGAUUUAUGUAACUUCUUACAUAAUGACAAUAUUUCUAUCAAAAACCAGCCCAAGGCAGGCUGUCAGCCGUAAUCAGAACGGACGUGCUUCUUGCUUCCUGAGAACAGGAGGCAUCGGGUCAAAGCAAACCCCUUUGGCUGCCAGGCUAAGGGCUUCCUGACCUGCUGAACUUGCCUGGUGUGGCUGUGUCCUCAGAGGAGGCAGAGACCUGGUAAUGCCCCAGAGGAGUCACAGCCCGGCUCAGCCAGCCCCAUCACCCCUGGCUGCAGCCCACCUCCAGCGACAGAGACCACUGUCAGUGUGAUCAAAUACCACACUGGAAGAGGUUUCAACCACAUUAUUGUACCAUUAGAGGGAGACUGGCUUUGGAGAUGAGAUCUUUGAACUCAGCCCCUACCUGGCUGUGUGAUCUUGAGGUAGUCACUCACCCUCUCUAGGCCUCAGUUUCCUGGACGAAUUACAUCAUCAAUUCUUGACCUCCAUGCUGAGCACAUGGAUAUGGUGCUAGCAUGCCACAAGUCGGUGCUACUUAUAUGUGGCAAAUGAUUUACUUUUUCCUAAUAUAAAUCAGUGCGAUUCAACCUCAUCAAAUCAGCCCCUGAACAGAAUGGCCGAUGCCCACGCACACUGGGAGGGACCAUCUGUCUUACAACCCAUGAGCAGGUACUAUGACCAGCCCAUCUUAAGAUGAGGAGGCUAAGGCACAGAACAGUGAAGGGCCUUGUUGAAGGUCACAGCUAGUAAAUGGCAGAGCUAGAUACAAACCUCAGCAGCCCACCUACAGGGCUACUGCCUCCACCUGGACCUUCCUCAGGCAAAACCUCAGUCGCUGUUAUAUGUGGGAAGAGGGAAGGGCAGGGUCAGCCUGGGAGGAUGUGGUGGGAUGGGUGCUCAGGGGUUGAGCACGCUGCAGAUGGACCAGCCAUCUUGGAAGCUGCCCUGUGUGCCAGAGCAGAUGGACCACAUCCUUGUCUCCAUUGAGAGUGAGCCUGCUGUCUCCAGAGGCAAUCAAGCAAGAAUAAGAUUGCCAGUUGGAGAGAAGAUAGAAAUGCAGAUUUAAGUAUCCGCGUGUGCACUGGGGAAGUCACCUGAGGUGACCUGUAACUUUCAAGGUCCACAGUCAAAGAUGCUGGGAUGCUGUGGGUUGCUGCGAAUUGGAAACUCCUGGGAGUGCCCACAGAGAGGAGGGUCCAAUCGAGGCAUCUCCCUCUCAUUCCCAGUUUGUCCACAAGACCUCACCUCUGGCGUGGCAGCCACUCGGACUGGCCAGUCCUUUUUCCAUCCAGCACAUUGCCAUCUCUGGACACCUCAUUUCCAGGUGAAGAAGCCAGAUCCUCAGAAUGUCAGGGCUUGCAGAACCUCAGAGCUCAGUCAACCAACCUUUGAUUUUCAGAGGAGGACCCCAAAAGCCCACAUGUACAAAAAGACAAUGGCCUGCCAGUGUAGGAAAAGAGAACCCUGGUCCACAGUCUCUGCAGCAAGCAGCCUAGGAAGACAAACCAAACCUCUGUGGCAACAGGCCCGGAAUGAUCAGGGCUCGGUCAGUCCUGGUCAGCUUCCCUAUUGUUGUCUACUGCUUCCAAUUCAAUACCAAUGAGAGAAAGCCAAAAAUGCUCCUAAGGCAAUCAAAUGAGAUGUCCGGCUUCCAGCUAGCCACUCCCACUUCCCCAUCCCAACAACCUCCAAUCAGGGCACACCUGAAGCCUCCCCCUUUUCACUGUGAUGCUUCCCCUCACCCUGCCUGCCUGGGAGUCUCUGUCAAAUGGAAGUGACAGUGGCCAAUUCCCUUGCCGUGGCAAGCUCACAAUGAAUGGCUUCUGUUUGAUCUCCUUUGGGUUGUCCCCAUUUAUUUUCACAACACAGAGACCCAGAAGGGGAUAGUGGGUUAAGGCCACAUUCCAGGUCUAGAACUCAGCUCAUUCAUUAUCACCUCAAUAGAGCUUUAUUUCUUUGACUCCCUCUAUUAUUCUAGGUAGAAUUGACCGCAUUCUCCCUCUUGCCUCUCAGUAUCCUUCACACUCUAUCUCGGCAUCUUCCACACAUGCGGUGGUUUUAAAGUAUGUCCAAAGCUCUGUGAUACUCAUCCCUUUAAGAAUUGGAGCCUAGUACCCCUCCCCUUAGUGUGGUCUGAAUUUAGUGACUCUUCUAGCAAACAGAAUGAUAUGAAGUGACCAUCUGUGACUUCAGAGAUGAGGACUUAAGAGGCUCAGCAGCUUCCUCCUUGCUCUCUCUUGGAUCAACUCUAGGGGAAGCCAGCUGCCAUGUUGUGGGGAUGCUCAAGUAGCCCUGAGGAGAGGCCCAUGUGAUGAGGCGCUAAGAGGACUUGGGACAAACACCAAUAGAGAAUUGAGGCCUCCCGUCAGUAGUCAUGUAAGUGAGCUAUUCUGGAAGCACAGCCUCCAUUCCCAGUCAACAUCUUAACUUCAACCUCAUGAGAGACCUUGAGCCUAGCUCAGCCACUCCCAGACUCCUGACCCACAGAUACUGUGUGAGGUAAUCAACACUUGUUUCAAGCUUCUAAGCAAUCUGUUGCCAUAGUUAAUUAAUGCAACAUAUUUCUGUGUUUUUUGGCCUACAUGUCUGAGACAUAUAAUAUCCAAUUUGGGACUCUUGAAAAUAAGGCACCAGUAACUUAGGGCUCAGCAAUGUUUGAUGGACAGACAGAUGAAUGGAUGGGUAAGAAGGUGCACAUUUGAGGCACCCUCACUUUCUUUGGCUUCAGGGUUGGAUGGAUGGAUGGAUGGAUGGAUGA
Long non-coding RNA from Cebus imitator (Panamanian white-faced capuchin), 3569 nucleotides. RefSeq lists it as uncharacterized. The transcript is spliced from 3 exons. The record is from RefSeq and is a predicted model, not a curated record. NCBI's taxonomy places the organism in Eukaryota, Metazoa, Chordata, Mammalia, Primates, Cebidae.